This 400-nucleotide transfer-messenger RNA is filed under the name uncultured Prevotella sp. It matches the Rfam family "transfer-messenger RNA". From Rfam's summary of the family: Bacterial tmRNA, also known as 10Sa RNA or SsrA, is named for its dual tRNA and mRNA-like properties. The record is from RNAcentral. Lineage: Bacteria; Pseudomonadati; Bacteroidota; Bacteroidia; Bacteroidales; Prevotellaceae.
GGGGUUGACUGGAUUUGACGGCGAGAUGAGAUGGUGUGUAAGCACGCGGAGCUGGGCGAUGGGAGGCUCCUUAAUCUCUUCUGUCGGAAAAUUAAUUGGCAACAACGAGUAUGCUCUCGCUGCUUAAUCGAAGUAAAGUAGAUUACGAGCUUAAUUCCACUACAAGGUAGAGGAACGAGACGUCGCCCCAAGGAUGUGGUUCCGAAUCUGAGGAACAGGCGGCGCAGGAAAAUCGGAAAUAGUUGCGGCUGGCUCCGCUGUCGCGAUGAAGCUUCAGGAGAUAAGGGUGCAGUUGGUGGCUCAGGUCUUGCUGCAUCACGAAAACGAAGGCUGAGAUAAGCGUGUAGAAAGCACAUGGUUUCCUCGUGCGGACGAGGGUUCGACUCCCUCCAGCUCCACU